UCCUGAGUAGCUCAGUGGUAGAGCGAUCGGCUGUUAACCGAUUGGUCGUAGGUUCAAAUCCUACCUCAGGAGCCA
RNAcentral lists this transfer RNA (75 nucleotides) under Chthoniobacter sp. RNAcentral's name for it is "tRNA-Asn". It matches the Rfam family "tRNA". Rfam says of the family: Transfer RNA (tRNA) molecules are approximately 80 nucleotides in length. Their secondary structure includes four short double-helical elements and three loops (D, anti-codon, and T loops). Lineage: Bacteria; Pseudomonadati; Verrucomicrobiota; Spartobacteria; Chthoniobacterales; Chthoniobacteraceae. The record is from RNAcentral.